AUUGAACGCUGGCGGCAGGCCUAACACAUGCAAGUCGAACGAGUGGCGGACGGGUGAGUAAUGUCUGGGUAACUGCCUGAUGGCGGGGGAUAACUACUGGAAACGGUAGCUAAUACCGCAUACCAUCAGAUGUUCCCAGAUGGGAUUAGCUUGUUGGUGGGGUAACGGCGCACCAAGGCGAAGAUCCCUAGCUGGUCUGAGAGGAUGACCAGACAAACUGGAACUGGACAACGUGCCAGACUCCUACGGGAGGCAGCAGUGGGGAAUAUUGCACAAUGGGCGAAAGACUGAUGCAGCCAUGCCGCGUGUAUGAAGAAGGCCUUCGGGUUGUAAAGUACUUUCAGCGGGGAGGCGUUACCCGCAGAAGAAGCACCGGCUAACUCCGUGCCAGCAGCCGCGGUAAUAC
RNAcentral lists this ribosomal RNA (406 nucleotides) under uncultured bacterium. RNAcentral describes it as "partial 16S ribosomal RNA". It matches the Rfam family "Bacterial small subunit ribosomal RNA", at positions 30 to 526 of the family's 1533-position model. The record is from RNAcentral.